This 482-nucleotide ribosomal RNA is filed under the name uncultured bacterium. RNAcentral describes it as "partial 16S ribosomal RNA". It matches the Rfam family "Bacterial small subunit ribosomal RNA", at positions 30 to 507 of the family's 1533-position model. The record is from RNAcentral.
AUUGAACGCUGGCGGCAUGCCUUACACAUGCAAGUCGAACGGUAACGGGCCUUCGGGUGCCGACGAGUGGCGAACGGGUGCGUAAUACAUCGGAACGUGCCCGAUCGUGGGGGAUAACGAGGCGAAAGCUUUGCUAAUACCGCAUACGAUCUACGGAUGAAAGCAGGGGACCGCAAGGCCUUGCGCGGACGGAGCGGCAGAUGGCAGAUUAGGUAGUUGGUGGGAUAAAAGCUUACCAAGCCGACGAUCUGUAGCCGGUCUGAGAGGAUGAUCGGCCACACUGGGACUGAGACACGGCCCAGACUCCUACGGGAGGCAGCAGUGGGGAAUUUUGGACAAUGGGCGCAAGCCUGAUCCAGCCAUGCCGCGUGCAGGUUGAAGGCCUUCGGGUUGUAAACUGCUUUUGUACGGAACGAAAAGCCUUCUUUUAAUACAGGAGGGUCAUGACGGUACCGUAAGAAUAAGCACCGGCUAACUACGUG